GACGAACGCUGGCGGCGUGCCUAAUACAUGCAAGUUGAGCGCUGAAGGAUGGUACUUGUACCAACUGGGUGAGCAGCGAACGGGUGAGUAACGCGUGGGGAAUCUGCCUUUGAGCGGGGGACAACAUUUGGAAACGAAUGCUAAUACCGCAUAAAAACUUUAAACACAAGAUUUAAGUUUGAAAGAUGCAAUUGCAUCACUCAAAGAUGAUUCCGCGUUGUAUUAGCUAGUUGGUGAGAUAAAGGCUAACCAAGGCGAUGAUACAUAGCCGACCUGAGAGGGUGAGCGGCCACAUUGGGACUGAGACACGGCCCAAACUCCUACGGGAGGGAGCAGGAGGGAAUCUUCGGCAAAGGACGAAAGUCUGACCGAGCAACGCCGCGGGAGGGAAGAAGGUUCUCGGAUCGUAAAACUCUGUUGGUAGAGAAGAAAGUUGGUGAGAGUGGAAAGCUCAUCAAGUGACGGUAACUACCCAGAAAGGGACGGCUAACUACGUG
RNAcentral lists this ribosomal RNA (497 nucleotides) under uncultured bacterium. Its description in RNAcentral is "partial 16S ribosomal RNA". It matches the Rfam family "Bacterial small subunit ribosomal RNA", at positions 28 to 507 of the family's 1533-position model. The record is from RNAcentral.